CCUACGGGCGGCAGCAGUGAGGAAUAUUGGUCAAUGGGCGCGAGCCUGAACCAGCCAAGCCGCGUGAAGGAUGACUGCUCUACGGGUUGUAAACUUCUUUUGUAAAGGAAUAAAGUGAGGCACGUGUGCCUUUUUGCAUGUAUUUUAUGAAUAAGGAUCGGCUAACUCCGUGCCAGCAGCCGCGGUAAUACGGAGGAUCCGAGCGUUAUCCGGAUUUAUUGGGUUUAAAGGGUGCGUAGAUGGGUUGUUAAGUCAGUUGUGAAAGUUUGCGGCUCAACCGUGGAAUUGCAAUUGAUACUGGGCGGCUGGAGUGCAGGUGAGGUAGGCGGAAUGCGUGGUGUAGCGGUGAAAUGCUUAGAUAUCACGAAGAACACCGAUUGCGAAGGCAGCCUACUAAACUGCAACUGACAUUGAGGCUCGAAAGUGUGGGGAGCAAACAGGAUUAGAUACCCUAGUAGUC
RNAcentral lists this ribosomal RNA (460 nucleotides) under uncultured bacterium. RNAcentral's name for it is "partial 16S ribosomal RNA". It matches the Rfam family "Bacterial small subunit ribosomal RNA", at positions 338 to 795 of the family's 1533-position model. The record is from RNAcentral.